GCCCAACCGCAGGGGAGUGGGAAAGGAAACCCUGCCAAUUGCCCAGGAGGAGUAAUUAGUACCUGUGCAGAGCCCUAAUGCCUACCACACCCACAAAAUUGAUUUUGUGACCACUAAUGAGUCAUGGUUGUGAACUAUUGUUCAGAAAACACUAGUUUAAAGUUGUCUCAUGUUGACCAGAAUCUGGCUCAUGACAACUUCCUUCGACUGGCCCCAGCUUUCUCCUGGGGACACUCAAAACACAUCAGCUCCCCCUGGCUCAGCACAGUCCUAUUUAGAGACAGCAUCUUUCUUCCCCAAUUCUUCCCCUCUCCUGGCUUAAUACUCCCCAUUCCCCCAAUUCUUCUUCCCAAGAUGAGACUUUCAAUUUCCUCUCCAUCCUGGUCUCCCUUCUCAGGCUACACUUGAGUCUGCCAAUCUACCUUGUAAUGUGUCACCUCAAAAUGUGGUCUGAGCAGCUUGGAGUUCAGCAGUUCCCAUUUACUCAGAGAUAUGAGGGCUGAGUAAGCUUAAGGACAGGACUAGCCUUGAGCAUUUUCUGUUGAGCCAAUUAUUUAAUUUCCUCAUUUGGCAAAUACUAUUGAUAAUCAUAUUCCCAGUGGGAGGCCCAUGGAAAUCUGAUCAGAUCAUUUUCUGGCUUGAAACUCCUGCAAUGGGUUCUAAUUACUCAGGAUAAAAUACCCACUCCUUCAAGUGGCCUGCAAGGUCCUGUGCAGUUGGCUUCUGCCUGCUUCUCUAACCUCAUAUUUCACAACCAUCCCCUUCUCUCUACACCUUGCAGAACACCGAAGCUCUUUCAUGUCCUAGAAUGUACUCUUUCCUGCCUCAGGAGCUUCACAAUUAUAAAUAGGUGAAUGAUGCUAUCAGAUUUGGGUUUUUAACAUGCGUCAGUUACUUAUUGCUAUGAAACCAACCACCCUCAAAAUUUAAUGGCUUAAAACAACCAUUUUAUUUGCUCAUGAUUCGAGGGUCAGCAGCUUAGGCUGGUUUUGACUGGGUCAUGCAUACAGGCUGGGUCAUUUGACCACUUCACUGAGGUUGGAAGGUCUAAUAUGGUGUCCAUCACAUGCAUCCAACAGGCUAACGUGAGCUGCUUCACAUGGCAGUAAAAGAGUUCCAGGGAGAGAGCGGAAGCUGCAAGGUUUCUUGAGCUCCAAGCUUAGAACUUACACAAUGUUCCUUCCACCAAAUUUAACCAGUCAAAGCAAAUCAUAAGGUCAGCCCAGGUUCAAAGGGUGGGAAACCAGACUGUUUCUUGAUGAAGGAAUGGCAAAAGUCACACUGCAUUGGGACGGGAUAGGAAGAAUUACUGUGGUCAGCUACCACAUAACAGAUAACAGGUGGCAUGAGAGGGUGGGGAGAACGGAAGGAUUUAGGACUGGUUAGAGUCCUAGGAAUCAGUUUUCAGGCUACUGUUAUUGUUCUGUGAGAAAUAAGGCCUGACCUAAGAUACAAGAGAUAUUUCAAGAAAGAAAUUUCAGAUUGUAUGUAACUUUUUGGAAGUUACGUAAGUGGUCUAAGUGCAUUUCCUUAUCUAUAAAAUAGAACUAAAAGAGUACCUAUCUCUCAG
Molecule: long non-coding RNA, 1570 nt
Organism: Equus asinus (donkey)
Lineage: Eukaryota; Metazoa; Chordata; Mammalia; Perissodactyla; Equidae
Source: Ensembl